UACGUAGGUGGCAAGCGUUGUCCGGAAUUAUUGGGCGUAAAGCGCGCACAGGCGGCCUUUUAAGUCUGAUGUGAAAGCCCACGGCUCAACCGUGGAAGGUCAUUGGAAACUGAAAGGCUUGAGUACAGAAGAGGAAAGCGGAAUUCCACGUGUAGCGGUGAAAUGCGUAGAGAUGUGGAGGAACACCAGUGGCGAAGGCGGCUUUCUGGUCUGUAACUGACGCUGAGGCGCGAAAGCGUGGGGAGCAAACAGG
Molecule: ribosomal RNA, 253 nt
Filed under: uncultured bacterium
Lineage: Bacteria
Description: partial 16S ribosomal RNA
Rfam family: Bacterial small subunit ribosomal RNA
Source: RNAcentral